AACGCACCUUGCGCUCCUUGGUAUUCUGAGGAGCAUGCCUGUUUGAGUGUCAUUAAAUUCUCAACCCUUAUCCACUUUGUGCUGGAUAAUGGGCUUGGAUGUGGGGGUCUUUUGCUGGCUUCUUCACAGAUGGUCAGCUCCCCUGAAAUGCAUUAGCCGGUGCCCCGCGUGGACUGUCUAUUGGUGUGAUAAUUAUCUACGCUGUGGACAUCUACAAUCAUAUGGGUUUGCACUGCUUCUAACCGUCUGCUUAUUCAGACAAUACAUGACUAUUUGACCUCAAAUCAGGUAGGACUACCCGCUGAACUUAA
RNAcentral lists this ribosomal RNA (311 nucleotides) under uncultured Hebeloma. Its description in RNAcentral is "eukaryotic LSU rRNA". Lineage: Eukaryota; Fungi; Basidiomycota; Agaricomycetes; Agaricales; Cortinariaceae. The record is from RNAcentral.